Molecule: long non-coding RNA, 10097 nt
Organism: Mytilus californianus (California mussel)
Lineage: Eukaryota; Metazoa; Mollusca; Bivalvia; Mytilida; Mytilidae
Exons: 39
Source: RefSeq, a predicted model, not a curated record
AAAAAUUUCUUCAAAUAUAUACUGUAAUGAAAUAUAUUUUUAAUGGAAUGUAUAGUAAUUAUAAAUAUUCUUGUCCAACAUGCAAAAGAUUAAAUUCUGAAAAAAUUGCAACAGCAAAUAGUCUGUAUUUAAAGCUGAUAUUAAUUUAUAGUUUUUGUUAAAGAUACAUCUAAAUAUGUUGCACUCCUACACAGAGAAGAUGGAUUCAUGGCAUAUAGGAAGAGUCAACAUAUACGGUCCAGAUAUGUUCCACUCCCACACAAUGAAGAUGGUUUCAUGGUAGAUGGCACAUUAGGAUGUUUAACGUAUACAGCCUAAAUAUGUUACACUCCUAGACAAUGAAGAUGCUUUCAUGGUAGAUUGAUCACACAUCUGGAUACGUAGCAUAUACAGCCUAAAUAUGUUACACUCCUAGACAAUGAAGAUGCUUUCAUGGUAUAUAGCACACGAAGAUUCGUAUCAUAUACAGCCUAAAUAUGUUACACUCUUCGACAAUGAAUAUGGUUUCAUUGUAGAUAGCACAUUAGGAUAAGUCACAUAUACAGCCUAAAUAUGUAAGACUCCUAUACCAUGAAAGAUGCUUCCAUUGCAGAGAGCACAUUAGGAUUAGUCACAUAUACAGCCUAAAUAUGUAAGACUCCUAUACCAUGAAAGAUGCUUCCAUUGCAGAUGCACAUUAGGAUAAGUCACAUAUUAUACAGUCUAAAUAUGUAACACUCCUAUACCAUGAAAGAUGCUUUCACACAUUAGGAUGUUGCACAUAUACAUCUAAAUAUGUUGCACUCCUACACAGAGAAGAUGGAUUCAUGGCAUAUAGGAAGAGUCAACAUAUACGGUCCAGAUAUGUUCCACUCCCACACAAUGAAGAUGGUUUCAUGGUAGAUGGCACAUUAGGAUGUUUAACGUAUACAGCCUAAAUAUGUUACACUCCUAGACAAUGAAGAUGGUUUCAUGGUAGAUUGAUCACACAUCUGGAUACGUAGCAUAUACAGCCUAAAUAUGUUACACUCCUAGACAAUGAAGAUGCUUUCAUGGUAUAUAGCACACGAAGAUUCGUAUCAUAUACAGCCUAAAUAUGUUACACUCUUCGACAAUGAAUAUGGUUUCAUUGUAGAUAGCACAUUAGGAUUAGUCACAUGUAGGUAUUUAUUCAUUACAAUUUUUUCUUUAAACUAGGUUUAUUAGCUCACCUGGCCCCUAUGGUUUGGGCCAGGUGAGCUUUUCUCAUCACUUGGCGUCCGUUGUCGUCGUCCGUUAAUACAAAAAUCUUCUCCUGAAACUACUGGGCAAAAUUUAACCAAACUUGGCCACAAUCAUCACUAGGGUAUCUAGUUUAAAAAAUGUGUCCGAUGACCCCGCCUGCCAACCAAGAUGGCCGACUUGGCUAAAAAUAGAACAUAGGGGUAAAAUGCAGUUUUUGGCAUAUAUCUCUGAAACUAAAGCAUUUAGAACAAAUCUGAUAAUUGGUAAAAAUGUUUAUCAGGUUAAGAUCUAUCUGCCCUGAAAUUUUCAGAUGAAUCAGACAAGCCGUUGUUGGGUUGCUGCCCCUGAAUUAGUAAUUUUAAGGAAAUUUUGCAGUUUUUUUUGUUAUCUUGAAUAUUAUUAUAGAUAGAGAUAAACUGUAAACAGCAAUAAUGUUCAGCAAAGGCAGAUCUACAAAUAAGUCAACAUGACCAAUAUGGUCAAUUGACCCCAUAAGGAGUUAUUGCCCUUUAAAGUCAAAUUUAACAAUUAUUCGUAAAUUUUUGUAGUCUUUUACAAAAAUCUUCUCUCCUGAAACAACUGAGACAAAUUUAACCAAACUUGGCCACAAUCAUCACUGGGGUAUCUAGUUUAAAAAAUGUGUCCGAUGACCCUGCCUGCCAACAAACAUGUCAGACAUGGCUAAAAGUAGAACUUAGGGGGAAAAUGCAGUUUUUGACUUGUAUCUCUGAACUAAAGCAAAUGUAUAACGGUUGCAUUAUUUCAUGCAUCAUUGUAAAUAAAAAUAUCAGGUGAGCAACACAGGCUCCUUGAAGCCUCUAGUAUUUGUUAGGCAUUAAAAAUCAGUUUUCACUGAAACAACGGAUUGAAGCUUUAUAACAAAUUGGUCUAAAAUUUCUUUUAUUCCUAUUUAUAUCCUAAUGAAGUAUAUUUUAAUAAGAAUGUAUAGUUAUUGUAAAUAUACGUCUCCAAUUUAGGAUUUGACAUCAAACAUGCAUAACAUUAAUUUCUGAAUUGAUUGCAACAGCAAAUAGCUUUGAUUUUGAAGCUGAAACUAAUUUAAAAUAUUUGUUUUUGUUAACAGAUACAGCCUAAAUAUGUAAGACUCCUAUACCAUGAAAGAUGCUUCCAUUGCAGAGAGCACAUUAGGAUUAGUCACAUAUACAGCCUAAAUAUGUAAGACUCCUAUACCAUGAAAGAUGCUUCCAUUGCAGAGAGCACAUUAGGAUUAGUCACAUAUACAGCCUAAAUAUGUAAGACUCCUAUACCAUGAAAGAUGCUUCCAUUGCAGAUGCACAUUAGGAUAAGUCACAUAUUAUACAGUCUAAAUAUGUAACACUCCUAUACCAUGAAAGAUGCUUUCACACAUUAGGAUGUUGCACAUAUACAUCUAAAUAUGUUGCACUCCUACACAGAGAAGAUGGAUUCAUGGCAUAUAGGAAGAGUCAACAUAUACGGUCCAGAUAUGUUCCACUCCCACACAAUGAAGAUGGUUUCAUGGUAGAUGGCACAUUAGGAUGUUUAACGUAUACAGCCUAAAUAUGUUACACUCCUAGACAAUGAAGAUGGUUUCAUGGUAGAUUGAUCACACAUCUGGAUACGUAGCAUAUACAGCCUAAAUAUGUUACACUCCUAGACAAUGAAGAUGCUUUCAUGGUAUAUAGCACACGAAGAUUCGUAUCAUAUACAGCCUAAAUAUGUUACACUCUUCGACAAUGAAUAUGGUUUCAUUGUAGAUAGCACAUUAGGAUUAGUCACAUGUAGGUAUUUAUUCAUUACAAUUUUUUCUUUAAACUAGGUUUAUUAGCUCACCUGGCCCCUAUGGUUUGGGCCAGGUGAGCUUUUCUCAUCACUUGGCGUCCGUUGUCGUCGUCCGUUAAUACAAAAAUCUUCUCCUGAAACUACUGGGCAAAAUUUAACCAAACUUGGCCACAAUCAUCACUAGGGUAUCUAGUUUAAAAAAUGUGUCCGAUGACCCCGCCUGCCAACCAAGAUGGCCGACUUGGCUAAAAAUAGAACAUAGGGGUAAAAUGCAGUUUUUGGCAUAUAUCUCUGAAACUAAAGCAUUUAGAACAAAUCUGAUAAUUGGUAAAAAUGUUUAUCAGGUUAAGAUCUAUCUGCCCUGAAAUUUUCAGAUGAAUCAGACAAGCCGUUGUUGGGUUGCUGCCCCUGAAUUAGUAAUUUUAAGGAAAUUUUGCAGUUUUUUUUGUUAUCUUGAAUAUUAUUAUAGAUAGAGAUAAACUGUAAACAGCAAUAAUGUUCAGCAAAGGCAGAUCUACAAAUAAGUCAACAUGACCAAUAUGGUCAAUUGACCCCAUAAGGAGUUAUUGCCCUUUAAAGUCAAAUUUAACAAUUAUUCGUAAAUUUUUGUAGUCUUUUACAAAAAUCUUCUCUCCUGAAACAACUGAGACAAAUUUAACCAAACUUGGCCACAAUCAUCACUGGGGUAUCUAGUUUAAAAAAUGUGUCCGAUGACCCUGCCUGCCAACAAACAUGUCAGACAUGGCUAAAAGUAGAACUUAGGGGGAAAAUGCAGUUUUUGACUUGUAUCUCUGAACUAAAGCAAAUGUAUAACGGUUGCAUUAUUUCAUGCAUCAUUGUAAAUAAAAAUAUCAGGUGAGCAACACAGGCUCCUUGAAGCCUCUAGUAUUUGUUAGGCAUUAAAAAUCAGUUUUCACUGAAACAACGGAUUGAAGCUUUAUAACAAAUUGGUCUAAAAUUUCUUUUAUUCCUAUUUAUAUCCUAAUGAAGUAUAUUUUAAUAAGAAUGUAUAGUUAUUGUAAAUAUACGUCUCCAAUUUAGGAUUUGACAUCAAACAUGCAUAACAUUAAUUUCUGAAUUGAUUGCAACAGCAAAUAGCUUUGAUUUUGAAGCUGAAACUAAUUUAAAAUAUUUGUUUUUGUUAACAGAUACAGCCUAAAUAUGUAAGACUCCUAUACCAUGAAAGAUGCUUCCAUUGCAGAGAGCACAUUAGGAUUAGUCACAUAUACAGCCUAAAUAUGUAAGACUCCUAUACCAUGAAAGAUGCUUCCAUUGCAGAUGCACAUUAGGAUAAGUCACAUAUUAUACAGUCUAAAUAUGUAACACUCCUAUACCAUGAAAGAUGCUUUCACACAUUAGGAUGUUGCACAUGUAGGUAUUUGGUCAUUACAAUUGUUCUUAAAACUAUGUUUAUGUUUGUUAGGUAAUAAAAAUCCGUUUUUUCCUGAACAGUUUGACAAAAAGAUGCUUUAUGUUAAAAUGGGUCUCGUAAAAGCAGACCUCUGCAGAGAGCAAACUUCAGAUUUUGAUAUAACAUUGAUGAAUUUAAUGGACGCUAAUCUCGUAAAAGCAGAUCCCCCAGCAGAGCUGAUUACAUAGUAUGAUGAAAACUUGUGUUUAUGGUAAAAUGUAUUUAGUUUUUUGUCUGGCUCUAUUUCAUUAUCAACCAAUUUGAAACUUUAUUACAAAUUGGUCUCAAAAAAAAUUUCUUCAAAUAUAUACUGUAAUGAAAUAUAUUUUUAAUGGAAUGUAUAGUAAUUAUAAAUAUUCUUGUCCAACAUGCAAAAGAUUAAAUUCUGAAAAAAUUGCAACAGCAAAUAGUCUGUAUUUAAAGCUGAUAUUAAUUUAUAGUUUUUGUUAAAGAUACAUCUAAAUAUGUUGCACUCCUACACAGAGAAGAUGGAUUCAUGGCAUAUAGGAAGAGUCAACAUAUACUGUCCAGAUAUGUUCCACUCCCACACAAUGAAGAUGGUUUCAUGGUAGAUGGCACAUUAGGAUGUUUAACGUAUACAGCCUAAAUAUGUUACACUCCUAGACAAUGAAGAUGGUUUCAUGGUAGAUUGAUCACACAUCUGGAUACGUAGCAUAUACAGCCUAAAUAUGUUACACUCCUAGACAAUGAAGAUGCUUUCAUGGUAUAUAGCACACGAAGAUUCGUAUCAUAUACAGCCUAAAUAUGUUACACUCUUCGACAAUGAAUAUGGUUUCAUUGUAGAUAGCACAUUAGGAUUAGUCACAUAUACAGCCUAAAUAUGCAAGACUCCUAUACCAUGAAAGAUGCUUCCAUUGCAGAGAGCACAUUAGGAUUAGUCACAUAUACAGCCUAAAUAUGUAAGACUCCUAUACCAUGAAAGAUGCUUCCAUUGCAGAUGCACAUUAGGAUAAGUCACAUAUUAUACAGUCUAAAUAUGUAACACUCCUAUACCAUGAAAGAUGCUUUCACACAUUAGGAUGUUGCACAUAUACAUCUGAAUAUGUUGCACUCCUACACAGAGAAGAUGGAUUCAUGGCAUAUAGGAAGAGUCAACAUAUACGGUCCAGAUAUGUUCCACUCCCACACAAUGAAGAUGGUUUCAUGGUAGAUGGCACAUUAGGAUGUUUAACGUAUACAGCCUAAAUAUGUUACACUCCUAGACAAUGAAGAUGGUUUCAUGGUAGAUUGAUCACACAUCUGGAUACGUAGCAUAUACAGCCUAAAUAUGUUACACUCCUAGACAAUGAAGAUGCUUUCAUGGUAUAUAGCACACGAAGAAUCGUAUCAUAUACAGCCUAAAUAUGUUACACUCUUCGACAAUGAAUAUGGUUUCAUUGUAGAUAGCACAUUAGGAUUAGUCACAUAUACAGCCUAAAUAUGUAAGACUCCUAUACCAUGAAAGAUGCUUCCAUUGCAGAGAGCACAUUAGGAUUAGUCACAUAUACAGCCUAAAUAUGUAAGACUCCUAUACCAUGAAAGAUGCUUCCAUUGCAGAGAGCACAUUAGGAUUAGUCACAUAUGCAACUUAUAUGAUGUUUCAGUAGUAGAAGGUGCAGCAUGGCAGCAGAAGAUGUUAAAUUGAGAAUCGUGAAGAGACAGUUUAAUUCUUUAGAGAAUAAAUAAGAUUAUGGUUUAUAGAUUAAGAUUAUAAAAAUCUCUAAUGUUCAAAAUAUCAGAUGAGAAUUUGCCAAGUGUCCUCAAUAUGUCUACAAUGAUAUAACAAUCAUAAUUAAGCCAAAAGAUCAAUUGUUGGUUGUAAUUAAUGCCAGCUCUAAAUAAGAUCUAAAAAUAGAAACUAUCUUCAAAUUUGACAAGUUACCAUAUCUACAUAUAAAUAAAUUAGAAUAGUCUGUAAAUAUUCUGUAUUUUCCUUUUUGCAUCAUCUUUUGAGUAACCAAAUCAGAACACCCAAUUUGGUGAAAUACUUUUUCCUGUUAUAUCUGUCAUUGCUUUUGUAAGAUAAAAACAAAAAUGUAUAUGCAGUUUUGUUAAAUAUAUUUAAAUUCAAAAUUCAAAAAAAAAAAUCAAUUUCAAAUUAACACAAACAAAAUUGACUUUAACUUAUGGUUUAGUUCAUGCACCCUUUAAUGUAUAUCUUAAAAGUUUUGUUGUGGACUAAGCAAAUAUCAAAUUAUCAUUUCAGAAGUACAUUUUGCUUGCAUGGUAUCAUCUUCACUAACAUUUAACAUAGUGGGUUUCGGAGUUACUGAGGUAGUUCUUAUUGAGGUGUUUGUUGUUUUUUUCUAUAGAGGAAUCAGUGGUUUCUAUGUCUUCAGGAUAUGGUUUUGUCAUUCAAAGGGAAUUGUCAAUGUAAUUCUGAAAUGAUAUACAUUUGGUAUUUUAUUGUCAUUGAAAAAGAAACAAUAUUAGUGCAUGAACAUUUGAACUGUGAAUAUAUAAUAUUUAAACUUUAUAAUUUAUAAUUUUAAAUCGAUUUUGGAAAGUUAUUGUAUCAAAAUUAAAUUGAAUUUGACAGUUUGAUGGAUGGAAAUUGAAAAUUAGAAAUUUAUGUUCUAAAUUUAAGCACAAGUGAAAACAAAAUUCAAAAUAUAAAUUUCUGCUUCAUUAAAACAUUUGGUCAAAUGGAUCUGCAAAAUCACUGAUAGCUAACACGGUUAAUCCACUUAAUUAGGUAGUGUCGUUAAGUAUAGUGUAAUGGAUCCUGUUGAUAUCCUAUUAAAAGUAUUGAUGUAUUAUAAAUCAUAUUCCUAAAUCUAACAUGUCAGAAGCGAGAGACCCCCCCCUUUGUUAUAGAGGGAUCGCCCUUGCAUCAGUGUCUUACAAAUUGUACUGUAAUAUACUGAACUAUAGAUUAGCUCAGUGGGUAGAUGAUAACAAUGUACUGGUUAAGGAACAGAAUGGUUUACCGCAACUUUGUAGUACAAUAGACCAAUUAUCUACGCUUACUAAUUUGAUAGAUGUGUGAAAAACACUUCCUUAAUCAAUCUUUUGCGCCUUUAUUGAUUUUAAAAAGGCUUACGACACUACAAAGGGAUAUUUUAUGGUAUAAACUAAAAAAAAAUUGGUGUUACACAGACUUUUGUUCUGCUAUUAAGUCAAUUUAUACAAAUGUUCUGUAAGAAAAAAACGGUCAUUUCACAGACUGGUUUGAUGUAAACACUGGCUUGAAACAAGGAUGUCCCUUGUCGCUCAUUUUGUUCAACUUGUAUAUUAAUGAUUACCAUUUUUCAAGUCCUUUGACUGCGGAAUAGAAAUUGGUGAUGAAAAACUGUAUUUUAUUAUAUGCUGAUGAUGUUGUUAUUAUAGCAAACGAUGAAAAAGAGCUACAACUUUUGGUAAAUGCUUUUUCUACAUGAUUUGAAGACAAUUGAAUGACAAUUGAUACAAACAAGAGUAACAUUGUACAAUUUAGACCACCAUCUAUACCUAGAUAUGAUGUAAUUUUUAAUUGUAAUGAUCAUACUAUAAAGUCUUCUAGUAAUGAUACUUGGUCUCGUUUUAAACAAGCAUUUAGACUAUAAUAUCACUGCAAAAGCCGUUGCAUCUUAAGCGAAUAGAGCUUUAGGGAUGGUAAUAGCCAAGUGUAAACUUUUAGGGGGUGUUUGUUUCGAUGUAUUUGUAAAAUUAUAUGAAAGUUUGGUUUGUCCUAUAAUAGAAUAUGAAAAGGUAUAUGGGGUGUAAAAAGAUAUUCUUGUAUGAAUUCCUUACAUAAUGGGGCCUAUAGAUUUUCUAGAAGUAGAAAAAUAUGUACCAAACGCUGCAGUUACUGGAGACUUGGGUAUUAUUGUAUUAUACGUUGAUAAUUUUAUUUUAUAUUGCAUUUUGAUUUGUCAAUACACAUAUGUUUUAUGGUGUAGGUCAGAGCACCUGACCCUGGAGACGGGAUUGCGCACUUGGCAUCCACUGACACAGGUUUCUAGAGCUUUUUGAUCGAUUAUAUCGUUUUUUAUCUCUAGUUGUUCCUGGCCGGCCUUGACUGUCUAUGAAGGGGUACAUUUAGUCAAAAGUUGGUUUUGGUGUAUUUAGGAAAAUCAUGGAAGUAUUAUAUUUUACUUCCAUGGGAUAAUAUAUACAUAGGAAUUGUAUGAUUUUGAAUUAUAUAUGCAUAGCAACAAUAAAGAUUUAUUGAAUUUGUGAAUAUUUAUAAUACAAUCUGGCGUCCAUCGAGCAUGACGGGCUGUCCGCAAACUAAGAUUAUGUUUGCAUUGUUUAUAUUUGGCACAAGUAUGUAGUUAAUACCACCUAUUUUUGAUAAGCAGUGGAAAAGUAUUAUUAGUUUGUGGUGUAGAUUAAAUCACAUGAGCUAAGGUCGGAUAAAUGCAAAAGUUCAUUAGUGAGCUGAUAAAAUGAGUAUUAAGCAUAAGUGUGCUGAAAACUGGAACUUUUUAGUAAGGAAAACCUUCUCUGAACUGAAUUCAAGUCAUUUAUCGCGCCCUGAAAAUAUGGACACUAAUUAUGUUGUUAAACUUUUAAUGUCAAAAUGAAUUUCAGUCACAGAAGUGCUUUUCUCAAAUAUAGAUGUGGUGUUGCUCCACUAAGGAUUUAAACUGGGAAAUAUGAAAAUAUUGUUUUAGCUUGUGCCAUAUAUGUUAUAGUUUUAUUGAAGACAAAGCACAUGUUUUAUUAAGAUGUCCUCUUUAUGAAGAUUUUAGAAACCAUUUAUAUUAUGUUGCUGAAACUUAUAAUGAAAAUUUUAAUACUUUAGAUGAUAACCAAAAGUUUGUGUUUUUAUUCUCAGAUGUGUUAUUCUCAGAUGUAAAUAUGAUACAUGUGUUCGAAAACCUGUUAUUUGAUUUUAAAAAGGCGUUGAAAUUUUAUAUAUGGAAAAUACAUGUAGUACUUUAUUUCAUAUUGUUUAAUGUAUUAUAUCUAUGCAUUUUAAUAGUCUUAUUGUUCUGUAUAGAAUGGUUCAUUUUAUUUAGUGUUGUUUUACAAUGUAUAAAUAUCUAUUGUAAUUGUUGAGUAUGACGCAUUCAUAAAACAUUGAAUUAAUUGAAUUGAGUUUGUUAGUAUUACAAUCAAUAUUUGUGUAUGCCUCGCACAAAAAGGUGCAAGCAGGGCCGUACUGGACAUCUUCAGUUAUCAAGGUUUUUUUUUUUAUAACAAACACACUGAGAUCUGGUAUCCAGGAAAUUAAAAUGAAUCAACAAUACUUUCAUGUAUUUUGUACAAUAAUAUUUUUUCUAAUUACACCUUACUCAUGAUGCAGAUCUGUCUUCGUCUAAUACUAUGAUGAUGUACUACAGUGGCAUAAAAGUAGUUACGAUAGGUUUAGGAAGUGUCAUUUUGGUAUUUAUCAUGAUGCAUUAGAAUUAAAUUUCCCCAUGUUUCAAGGAAUAACAUUGAAAAAUAAUUUAUAAGCCUACACUUCUGGCCAGCAGUCUGUUUUAAAUAGUAAGGAUUUCUGUAAAACUGUUCAGGUAUACCUCCUUAGACAAUCUUCCUAGCAUUGGGUAUUGGAAUUUUUCAAUUUUUUACCCACUACAUUUUCAGUUUUUUGUUGGUUGUUCUAUGUCUGCGGGGUCGUCGAUGAUAGAAUUUUUGCUAUUAUUUGAUAUUUCACAUAAAAUACAAUGUAAGAGCAUUUCACCAAUUAUAAAUGCUACGAUUUUCUUUAUGUAUUUAUGCUUAUCCUUGUAUGCAUGUUUAUUGUUUUAAUGAAGAUAAAAUCCGAUGUCCAGGUUAUCGGCAAUAUGAA